RNAcentral lists this ribosomal RNA (506 nucleotides) under uncultured bacterium. RNAcentral's name for it is "partial 16S ribosomal RNA". It matches the Rfam family "Bacterial small subunit ribosomal RNA", at positions 28 to 523 of the family's 1533-position model. The record is from RNAcentral.
GAUGAACGCUAGCGGCAGGCCUAACACAUGCAAGUCGAGGGGUAACUAGAGUGAUAGCAAUAUUACUUUGGCUAGACCGGCGCACGGGUGCGUAACACGUAUGCAACCUACCUUAUACUGGGGAAUAACUUCGAGAAAUCGGCGCUAAUACCCCAUAACAUUGCGAAGAGGCAUCUCUUUGCAAUUAAAGCUCCGGCGGUAUAAGAUGGGCAUGCGUCCAAUUAGCUAGUUGGUGAGGUAACGGCUCACCAAGGCUACGAUUGGUAGGGGUUCUGAGAGGAUGAUCGCCCACACUGGUACGGAGACACGGACCGGACUCCUACGGGAGGCAGCAGUGAGGAAUAUUGCGCAAUGGACGAAAGUUGGACGCAGCCAUGCCGCGUGCAGGAUGACGGCCCUAUGGGUUGUAAACUGCUUUUGUACGGGAAUAAACCCUUCUACGUGUAGGAGGCUGAAGGUACCGUAAGAAUAAGCACCGGCUAACUCCGUGCCAGCAGCCGCCGUAA